GACGAACGCUGGCGGCGUGCUUAACACAUGCAAGUCGAACGGAAAGGCCCUGCUUUUGUGGGGUGCUCGAGUGGCGAACGGGUGAGUAACACGUGAGUAACCUGCCCUUGACUUUGGGAUAACUUCAGGAAACUGGGGCUAAUACCGGAUAGGAGCUCCUGCUGCAUGGUGGGGGUUGGAAAGUUUCGGCGGUUGGGGAUGGACUCGCGGCUUAUCAGCUUGUUGGUGGGGUAGUGGCUUACCAAGGCUUUGACGGGUAGCCGGCCUGAGAGGGUGACCGGCCACAUUGGGACUGAGAUACGGCGCAGACUCCUACGGGAGGCAGCAGUGGGGAAUAUUGCACAGUGGGCGGGAGCCUGAUGCAGCAACGCCGCGUGCGGGAUGACGGCCUUCGGGUUGUAAACCGCUUUCGCCUGUGACGAAGCGUGAGUGACGGUAAUGGGUAAAGAAGCACCGGCUAACUACGUG
RNAcentral lists this ribosomal RNA (468 nucleotides) under uncultured bacterium. RNAcentral describes it as "partial 16S ribosomal RNA". It matches the Rfam family "Bacterial small subunit ribosomal RNA", at positions 28 to 507 of the family's 1533-position model. The record is from RNAcentral.